Molecule: non-coding RNA, 1493 nt
Organism: Kogia breviceps (pygmy sperm whale)
Lineage: Eukaryota; Metazoa; Chordata; Mammalia; Artiodactyla; Physeteridae
Source: RefSeq, a predicted model, not a curated record
UCUUGUAUGUCUUGAGCAAGAAGCAGGGAGACCAUCAUUUUGACUAUCGCAGUGUGUCAAUUCUGAAGGAUCACUAGUGUUACUGUGACCCCCUUUGUUUGCAGUGAAGGGGAUCAUUUGCUUCUCAGUCCUCAACUUGAUGAGGAAAUGGUGCUGUUUGCUGGCACGCAAGAAGCCGGGGCAAGCACCGUAAGCCUCACCACAGUGCACGAGUCGGGGGCUUUGCUGGUUUGAAGAGCCGGAGUUGCUGAAAUUUAAGUUUUGAUUUAUUUUGUUCACCCAUCACGUUUGGCCUUAGUUUCAUUUUUAAUUUGAAGAAAAGUUUGAAAUUGCUUUAUCUUGCUCUUAACAUUUGCACCAAAUUGCCAAAAGAAGGAGAAAUGCUCCGCUUGCUUUUUAAAUGUUAAUGAUGAUGUUAAUAAAGCCUUUCCUGACACAUUUGAGGAGCUCCUCCAUCUUCAGGGGCUUCUUACCAGAGUUAUGCAGUGAUGGGUUUAGUUCUGAAUGGAUGAAGAGUUCCUGAGAGCUAGCGUUUGUAAUUAGAACCGUUACUUGGUAUCUGUGCCUUAUUUGACCUGUGGUUCCACAUGCCUUGGAUGUGCAUGCACCGUGACGGUUUCAUAGGUACGAACGCACACUCAGGCCCAGUCACUUCGGUUGGUAGUACAGAUUGUGAGGAAAAAAUGGAGGCAUCCUUAAGGAGGAAAAAGUGUUUGCCUUUAGUUCCUGCAUUAUCCUGUACAGGGGCUCCUGAGCUUUGGAAGCUGUUUCCAGUACAGGAGAACAACUCCCCUGUUUGCAGCAGGAGACUUCGGUGCACAGUGACAACGCUGGAGUUCAAGAGGAAGCCAGCAGUGCUGCACCAUUGGCUUCAGACACCAUUGUUGUUUGCCAGUUUUAAACUUAACUAGUUGCAGACGAAGACCACCUUGAAAUGCAGGCUUGUUGGGCUUGUUUUGAAUUUUAACCUCGGAUGGAAGAGGCCUAGUGCUGUCUGUCUCCAUGCGGGAUGAUGAUUACUUAGGCAACAGGUGAUUAUCAACAAAGGAUGCCACGCUUAUACUCUGCAAGGUGGUGUUCCAGUGGCAAACAGCUGUAUAAACUCUUGUAAACAGGAACUACUGACAAUCAAAAACCUAUAGCCGACUUGGGAUAUGGCUUUAUUAUUCAGCAACUAAAAGAUGAGUUCUAAUUGGCAGACUUCUGGCAUUGGCACUUGUCCUUCUGUUUCUAUAGAAACUGGGUUGGAAGUCAGAGCUGCACAAAGGGAAAGGCUUCUCUCCUCUCUUAGCCAAGCAGGACGAGGUCAUCUCUUGGGCACAUACAUGUGUUCUCAUCCAGGCAGACACCCAUUAAUCGUAGAACCUAAGACACCUGCCAGUUGGUGAGUUAUCUUAUUACUGUAGCUUCAGAGGACUAUGCUGCACAGCUGGGGCAUUUAGGCUUGAAAUGGUUUAAUCAAAUGUGAUAAACUCCUUUGAUCUACAGGUUGG